CCUUCGAUAGUUCAGUUGGUAGAGCGGAGGACUGUAGAUCCUUAGGUCGCUGGUUCAACUCCGGCUCGAAGGA
This is a non-coding RNA of Epinephelus lanceolatus (giant grouper), 73 nucleotides long. The record is from the annotation of a RefSeq genome assembly. NCBI's taxonomy places the organism in Eukaryota, Metazoa, Chordata, Actinopteri, Perciformes, Serranidae.